This 352-nucleotide long non-coding RNA is filed under the name Prunus persica (peach). RNAcentral's name for it is "long non-coding RNA (PPER_LNC007257)". Lineage: Eukaryota; Viridiplantae; Streptophyta; Magnoliopsida; Rosales; Rosaceae. The record is from RNAcentral.
GACUAUACAGGUCAUGCUUGCGGGAGGGUAGAGAAUAUGCCCAAUUGCGUUGAGAAAAAUUGCGAUGACUUGUGCUUGGAAAAAUAUGCCAGAAGUGUUGGAACAACAGCUCAAGGGUAUUGCAAGGGGGAUUUAUGUAUGUGUGUUUUCCCUUGUAAGAAGAAAUUUGGUGCUCAUCUAGUUACGAGGGAUUAAGCUGGUAGCUCAAGUUGUUAAGAACAUUUAUUCUUACGCCUAAAAGUUAUGUAUUCGAUUUCCCUUCCUCUAAUAUCUUAUAUUAAAGAAAAGUGAAAAAUAAUAUUUUGGAGCAUUACUUAGCAGAAUUUAUCCCUCUUCAUUGGCUCUAUUAUAC